GGGGGCGGCUGCCGGCUUGGAGGCGGCCACCCGCGCUGCGGGCGCGGGCUUCUCAGCCGCCACGGGCUGCUCGGGCUCCGGCUCCUCCUUCU
RNAcentral lists this transfer RNA (92 nucleotides) under Sinomonas cellulolyticus. Its description in RNAcentral is "tRNA-Arg". The record is from RNAcentral. Lineage: Bacteria; Bacillati; Actinomycetota; Actinomycetes; Micrococcales; Micrococcaceae.